Molecule: ribosomal RNA, 466 nt
Filed under: uncultured bacterium
Lineage: Bacteria
Description: partial 16S ribosomal RNA
Rfam family: Bacterial small subunit ribosomal RNA
Source: RNAcentral
GAUGAACGCUAGCGGCGUGCUUAACACAUGCAAGUCGAACGGAAAGGCCCUGCUUGCAGGGUACUCGAGUGGCGAACGGGUGAGUAACACGUGGGUGAUCUGCCCUGUACUUUGGGAUAAGCCUGGGAAACUGGGUCUAAUACCGAAUAUGACAAUUGUUUGGAUGCGAUUGUGGAAAGCUUUUGCGGUAUGGGAUGAGCUCGCGGCCUAUCAGCUUGUUGGUGGGGUAAUGGCCUACCAAGGCGUCGACGGGUAGCCGGCCUGAGAGGGUGUACGGCCACAUUGGGACUGAGAUACGGCCCAGACUCCUACGGGAGGCAGCAGUGGGGAAUAUUGCACAAUGGGCGCAAGCCUGAUGCAGCGACGCCGCGUGGGGGAUGACGGCCUUCGGGUUGUAAACUCCUUUCGCAACCGACGAAGCCUUUUGGUGACGGUAGGUUGAGAAGAAGCACCGGCUAACUACGUG